This 433-nucleotide ribosomal RNA is filed under the name uncultured bacterium. RNAcentral's name for it is "partial 16S ribosomal RNA". It matches the Rfam family "Bacterial small subunit ribosomal RNA", at positions 29 to 507 of the family's 1533-position model. The record is from RNAcentral.
AACGAACGCUGGCGGCAUGCCUAACACAUGCAAGUCGAACGAGACCUUCGGGUCUAGUGGCGCACGGGUGAGUAACGCGUGGGAACCUGCCCUUAGGUUCGGAAUAACUCCCCGAAAGGGGUGCUAAUACCGGAUAAUGUCUUCGGACCAAAGAUUUAUCGCGUUUGGAUGGGCCCGCGUUGGAUUCGCUAGUUGGUAGGGUAAAAGCCUACCAAGGCGACGAUCCAUAGCUGGUCUGAGAGGAUGAUCAGCCACACUGGGACUGAGACACGGCUCAGACUCCUACGGGAGGCAGCAGUGGGGAAUAUUGGACAAUGGGCGAAAGCCUGAUCCAGCAAUGCCGCGUGAGUGAUGAAGGCCUUAGGGUUGUAAAGCUCUUUUACCCGGGAUGAUAAUGACAGUACCGGGAGAAUAAGCUCCGGCUAACUCCGUG